This is a long non-coding RNA of Selaginella moellendorffii, 198 nucleotides long. RefSeq lists it as uncharacterized. Lineage: Eukaryota; Viridiplantae; Streptophyta; Lycopodiopsida; Selaginellales; Selaginellaceae. The transcript has 3 exons. The record is from RefSeq and is a predicted model, not a curated record.
UCGUGUUGGGAAGCGGCAGCGCAAUGUGUCACUCCCGGCUCGGGAAGUGUUGGAGUGCGGUGAUGUUUCGCUGGAAAUAAAAGGAGGCCUGAGCUUAGCUUGUUGUGACUGGGUGGAAUGCCCUGUGUGUGGGAAGCAAAUACGCGGGAAUGAACUUCUCGUCAACUGCCAUCUUGAUACUUGCCUGCAAAGUGGGAA